AACGAACGCGGCGGCAUGCCUAACACAUGCAAGUCGAACGCUAUCUUUGAUAGAGUGGCGCACGGGUGAGUAACGCGUGGGAACCUGCCUUUCACUGCGGGACAACGGUUGGAAACGACCGCUAAUACCGCAUACGCCCUAAGGGGGAAAGAUUUAUCGGUGAAAGAGGGGCCCGCGUCUGAUUAGCUUGUUGGUAGGGUAAUGGCCUACCAAGGCGACGAUCGGUAGCUGGUCUGAGAGGAUGAUCAGCCACACUGGGACUGAGACACGGCCCAGACUCCUACGGGAGGCAGCAGUGGGGAAUAUUGGACAAUGGGGGCAACCCUGAUCCAGCAAUGCCGCGUGUGUGAUGAAGGCCUUAGGGUUGUAAAGCACUUUCACUGGUGAAGAUGAUGACGGUAACCAGAGAAGAAGCCCCGGCUAACUUCGUGCCAGCAGCCGCGGUAAUACGAAGGGGGCGAGCGUUGUUCGGAAUUACUGGGCGUAAAGGGCGCGUAGGCGGUCUUUUAAGUUAGGCGUGAAAGCCCCGGGCUCAACCUGGGAACUGCGCUUAAAACUGGAAGACUAGAAAACGGAAGAGGGUAGUGGAAUUCCCAGUGUAGAGGUGAAAUUCGUAGAUAUUGGGAAGAACACCAGUGGCGAAAGCGGCUCACCUGGUCCGAUACUGA
Molecule: ribosomal RNA, 668 nt
Filed under: alpha proteobacterium IMCC14711
Lineage: Bacteria; Pseudomonadati; Pseudomonadota; Alphaproteobacteria
Description: bacterial SSU rRNA
Rfam family: Bacterial small subunit ribosomal RNA
Source: RNAcentral